CCUACGGGAGGCAGCAGUGGGGAAUAUUGCGCAAUGGGCGAAAGCCUGACGCAGCGACGCCGCGUGAGGGAUGAAGGUCUUCGGAUCGUAAACCUCUGUCAGCAGGGAAGAACGGUCACUGUGCUAAUCAGCAGUGAAUUGACGGUACCUGCAAAGGAAGCACCGGCUAACUCCGUGCCAGCAGCCGCGGUAAUACGGAGGGUGCGAGCGUUAAUCGGAAUUACUGGGCGUAAAGCGGUCGUAGGCGGUAUGUCAAGUCAAGGGUGAAAUCCCCGCGCUCAACGUGGGAACUGCCUUUGAAACUGGCAAACUGGAGUGUGGGAGAGGAUAGUGGAAUGCCAGGUGUAGGAGUGAAAUGCGUAGAUAUCUGGAGGAACAACAGUGGCGAAGGCGACUAUCUGGCACAUAACUGACGCUGAGGAGCGAAAGCGUGGGUAGCAAACAGGAUUAGAUACCCUGGUAGUC
RNAcentral lists this ribosomal RNA (465 nucleotides) under uncultured bacterium. RNAcentral describes it as "partial 16S ribosomal RNA". It matches the Rfam family "Bacterial small subunit ribosomal RNA", at positions 338 to 795 of the family's 1533-position model. The record is from RNAcentral.